RNAcentral lists this ribosomal RNA (484 nucleotides) under uncultured bacterium. Its description in RNAcentral is "partial 16S ribosomal RNA". It matches the Rfam family "Bacterial small subunit ribosomal RNA", at positions 30 to 507 of the family's 1533-position model. The record is from RNAcentral.
AUUGAACGCUGGCGGCAGGCCUAACACAUGCAAGUCGAGCGGCAGCACAGUAAUUGCUCCUGGUUUCAGCGGCGGACGGGUGAGUAAUGCCUAGGAAUCUGCGUGUUUGUGGUGGCUUGCGUGCGGACGCGGGCGCUCAUACCGCAUACGUCCUGAGGGCGUACGUGGGGGAUCUUCGGACCUCCCGCUAUCAGAUGAGCCUAGGUCGGAUUAGCUAGUUGGUGGGGUAAAGGCCUACCAAGGCGACGAUCCGUAGCUGGUCUGAGAGGAUGAUCAGUCACACUGGAACUGAGACACGGUCCAGACUCCUACGGGAGGCAGCAGUGGGGAAUAUUGGACAAUGGGCGAAAGCCUGAUCCAGCCAUGCCGCGUGUGUGAAGAAGGCCUUCGGAUUGUAAAGCCCUUUUAGUGGGGAAGAAGAGCAGUAGGUUAAUACCUCGCUGUUUUGACGGUACCAAAAGAAUAAGCACCGGCUAACUUCGUG